Molecule: ribosomal RNA, 208 nt
Filed under: uncultured Leptolinea sp.
Lineage: Bacteria; Bacillati; Chloroflexota; Anaerolineae; Anaerolineales; Anaerolineaceae
Description: partial 16S ribosomal RNA
Rfam family: Bacterial small subunit ribosomal RNA
Source: RNAcentral
UGGGAUGAUGUCAAGUCAGCAUGGCCUUUAUAUCCUGGGCUACACACACGCUACAAUGGCCAACACAAUAGGUUGCUAAGCCGCGAGGUGGCGCCAAUCCAUAAAGUUGGUCUCAGUUCAGAUUGUAGGCUGCAACCCGCCUGCAUGAAGAUGGAGUUGCUAGUAACCGCAGGUCAGCUAUACUGCGGUGAAUACGUUCCCGGGUCUU